UUGACCUCGGAUCAGGUAGGGAUACCCGCUGAACUUAAGCAUAUCAAUAAGCGGAGGAAAAGAAACCAACAGGGAUUGCUCUAGUAACGGCGAGUGAAGCAGCAAUAGCUCAAAUUUGAAAUCUGGCGUCUUCGACGUCCGAGUUGUAAUUUGUAGAGGAUGCUUCUGAGUGGCCACCGACCUAAGUUCCUUGGAACAGGACGUCAUAGAGGGUGAGAAUCCCGUAUGCGGUCGGAAAGGCGCUCUAUACGUAGCUCCUUCGACGAGUCGAGUUGUUUGGGAAUGCAGCUCUAAAUGGGAGGUAAAUUUCUUCUAAAGCUAAAUAUUGGCCAGAGACCGAUAGCGCACAAGUAGAGUGAUCGAAAGAUGAAAAGCACUUUGGAAAGAGAGUUAAAAAGCACGUGAAAUUGUUAAAAGGGAAGGGAUUGCAACCAGACUUGCUCGCGGUGUUCCGCCGGUCUUCUGACCGGUCUACUCGCCGCGUUGCAGGCCAGCAUCGUCUGGUGCCGCUGGAUAAGACUUGAGGAAUGUAGCUCCCUCGGGAGUGUUAUAGCCUCUUGUGAUGCAGCGAGCGCCGGGCGAGGUCCGCGCUUCGGCUAGGAUGCUGGCGUAAUGGUCGUAAUCCGCCCGUCUUGAAACACGGACCAAGGAGUCUAACAUCUAUGCGAGUGUUCGGGUGUCAAACCCCUACGCGUAAUGAAAGUGAACGGAGGUGAGAACCGCAAGGUGCAUCAUCGACCGAUCCUGAUGUCUUCGGAUGGAUUUGAGUAAGAGCAUAGCUGUUGGGACCCGAAAGAUGGUGAACUAUGCCUGAAUAUGGUGAAGCCAGAGGAAACUCUGGUGGAGGCUCGCAGCGGUUCUGACGUGCAAAUCGAUCGUCAAAUUUGGGUAUAGGGGCGAAAGACUAAUCGAACCAUCUG
This 920-nucleotide ribosomal RNA is filed under the name Cladosporium iridis. Its description in RNAcentral is "eukaryotic LSU rRNA". It matches the Rfam family "Eukaryotic large subunit ribosomal RNA", at positions 1 to 946 of the family's 3401-position model. The record is from RNAcentral. Lineage: Eukaryota; Fungi; Ascomycota; Dothideomycetes; Cladosporiales; Cladosporiaceae.